GCAGGUGAGCGGCGGGGCACGGGCCGACGUCUCGGGCUCUGGGCGGGCGCGCUGACCUUGCGGGCGCGGCGGUAGCAGCGCGGCCAGGGCGCCGCCUUUGUUCCUCUCCGGAGGGCCGCGCCCGAGAGAGGCUUCGCCGGUGCCGCCGACUCCGGAACCCGCGCGCCCGCGGGAGGGGACAGCCAGGCCGGGCUGCCGCCGGGGAGGGCGGCUCCCGCUGCACACGCGCUCGCCUGGGGCUAGGCAGGGUUCGGCGGUCCGGGCGCCGCGAUCCGCCCCGGCCUCCCUGGAACCCCACCCGGGGCCCAGCGGGCGUUGCCAGCCGCGAGCCCGGCGCAGGGGUCGACCCUGGAAGGCUAGGCGGGAACCCCGGAGCUGGCGAGGGAGGUGCCAGGCAGGUGGCCUGGAAAGCGCAGACCUGGCCCUCGCAGCCUUUUGCAUUUUAUACCAUAACAGCGGCCAGCGCUGAGCAGGUUUUAAGAUUUGUGUUUCACGAGGAGCCCUGGCGGUAGCGAGCGGAGGGGAGGGCGAGCUGCGCGGCCCAGGAGAUGGUGGCGGGAGGAGGAUGCAGGCGGGUGCGGCGGUCGGGCCGGGCGUGAGGGGAAGGUGUCGGGGAGCGGUCACGGUGCUUCUGGCAUGAGGAACUGGGAGGCCGGAGAUGCCAUUUGUCAAACCGGACGACAGAGCAGGAGCGAGUGGAGGUUUUAGAUGCCUGCGGGACAGGCGGGCGGGGCAGCCAGAUUCUUUCCACCAUGGCCAGACGCCCCCGGAACAGCAGGGCCUGGCACUUCGUCCUGAGUGCAGCCCGCCGAGACGCAGAUGCCCGGGCCGUGGCUCUAGCAGGCUCCACUAACUGGGGCUACGACUCUGAUGGGCAGCACAGCGACUCGGACUCCGACCCCGAGUACUCCACGCUGCCGCCAUCCAUCCCCAGUGCAGUGCCCGUGACCGGCGAGUCCUUCUGUGACUGUGCUGGGCAGAGCGAGGCCUCCUUCUGUAGCAGCCUGCACUCGGCCCACCGGGGCAAGGACUGCCGCUGUGGAGAGGAAGACGAGUGUGAGCGUGGGGCCCAGCCCCUGCUGGGACUGCACUGCGGGCGGGCCUGGGGGCGGGCAGGGCAGAGCCCCAUGGAGCUCUCAGGGCUGCCCCAGCCUGGGCCUCUCUUGCAGAUUUCGACUGGGUCUGGGAUGACUUGAAUAAGUCAUCAGCCACCCUGCUGAGCUGUGACAACCGUAAGGUCAGCUUCCACAUGGAGUACAGCUGCGGCACAGCGGCCAUCCGGGGCACCAAGGAGCUGGGGGAGGGCCAGCACUUCUGGGAGAUCAAGAUGACCUCUCCCGUCUACGGCACCGACAUGAUGGUGGGCAUCGGGACGUCGGAUGUGGACCUGGACAAAUACCGCCACACGUUCUGCAGCCUGCUGGGCAGGGAUGAGGACAGCUGGGGCCUCUCCUACACGGGUGCGUGAGGCCCAGGGUGGGGCGGGGCCGAGCCUGGAGCUCCCGGGCUCACUGCGACCCUGGCUGCCCCCAGGCCUCCUCCACCACAAGGGCGACAAGACCAGCUUCUCGUCGCGGUUCGGCCAGGGCUCCAUCAUUGGCGUGCACCUGGACACCUGGCAUGGCACGCUCACCUUUUUCAAGAACAGGAAGUGUAUAGGUGUGGCAGCCACCAAGCUGCAGAACAAGAGGUUCUACCCGAUGGUGUGCUCCACGGCGGCCCGGAGCAGCAUGAAGGUCACCCGCUCCUGCGCCAGCGCCACCUCCCUCCAGUACCUGUGCUGCCACCGCCUGCGCCAGCUGCGGCCAGACUCGGGAGACACGCUGGAGGGUCUGCCGCUGCCGCCGGGCCUCAAGCAGGUGCUACACAACAAGCUGGGCUGGGUCCUGAGCAUGAGCUGCAGCCGCCGCAAGGCUCCAGCGUCCGAUCCCCAGGCAGCGACCUCGGCCCACCCCAGCAGUCGCGAGCCUCGGCCCUGCCAGAGGAAGCGCUGCCGCCGGAUCUGACUGACUGCCCCAGUGGAACUGCCUUCUUGGGCUAGGACAGCCCCUUUCCUCCGUCCCUUCUUUCUCUGUCCCUUCCUUCCAGCCACACUCCAGGGCGGAGUUGGAUGAGGCCCGUCCGGAGGGAGCCAUCUCUUGCUCCCGAGGCUGGGACAGUCCUUUCUGGGGGGGCUCUAGGGCUCCUCUGCUGCUGUGCUGGGUGGGGAAGCGGCUGCCCUGAGCCCCAGGUCUUGUGGGAGGCUGCGAGGACGAGAGCCUGGCUGGAGCCCGCGUUGCCGUUCCCACAGGGCCUCGGUUUUUCCUAACUUGCUCUGCAUGCUGUCAGCGGCUGCCCUGCCGUCAUAGACUUAAAGGACUGCAAUAAACGUAGAGUUGAUGUCUAACACC
This 2390-nucleotide small RNA is filed under the name Pan troglodytes (chimpanzee). RNAcentral's name for it is "retained intron". Lineage: Eukaryota; Metazoa; Chordata; Mammalia; Primates; Hominidae. The record is from RNAcentral.